GUGCUAACCCUACCUACCUUCUGUUGAAUAAUUUGACUUCUGUUAUGGCUUACUUUUUAAAACUGUUUGUUCAAAACUGAGCUAGGGAAGUUGUCAAGCCUUAAAGGAAGAGAAUACAAUAUUUACUCAUUUUAUUCCUGAUUAUAAAAGUGAUGAGUAUAUAGUGUAAAGAUUGGAUAAGUAGGAAGUGUGGGGGUGAUUCCUUUCUUCCUUCUAUUCUUAUGCCUCUUCCCUGUUUUCUCCUUUUUCUAUAUAUAUCUCUAGUGGUUCCAAGUUUCCAGUAUUCAAUAUGUCAUACAAUCCAGCAGAAAAUGCAGUCCUGCUUUGUACGAGAGCUAGCAAUUUAGAGAAUAGUACCUAUGACCUGUACACCAUCCCUAAAGAUGCUGACUCCCAGAAUCCUGAUGGUAAGUGUUCUUUUUGUCUACCCCACUCUGCUUCCAGCUCUCCUCACCCGCAUCAUAACUCCUCUUCAAGUUUUUCGCAUUCCAUCCCCAAGCCAUGGCCACGUCACUCAUGUCUGUUGGCAGGUGCUGCUGACAAUUGCAUCAGAGGCGACCAUGGUGUGAAAUAUUCAU
Molecule: small RNA, 578 nt
Filed under: Pongo abelii (Sumatran orangutan)
Lineage: Eukaryota; Metazoa; Chordata; Mammalia; Primates; Hominidae
Description: retained intron
Source: RNAcentral